AUUGAACGCUGGCGGCAGGCCUAACACAUGCAAGUCGAACGGUAACAGGAAGCAGCUUGCUGCUUCGCUGACGAGUGGCGGAAGGGUGAGGAAUGUCUGGGAAACUGCCCGAUAGAGGGGGAUAACUACUGGAAACGGUAGCUAAUACCGCAUAACGUCGCAAGACCAAAGAGGGGGACCUUAGGGCCUCUUGCCAUCGGAUGGGCCCAGAUGGGGUUAGCUAGUAGGUGGGGUAACGGCUCACCUAGGCGACGAUCCCUAGCUGGUCUGAGAGGAUGACCAGCCACACUGGAACUGAGACACGGUCCAGACUCCUACGGGAGGCAGCAGUGGGGAAUAUUGCACAAUGGGCGCAAGCCUGAUGCAGCCAUGCCGCGUGUAUGAAGAAGGCCUUCGGGUUGUAAAGUACUUUCAGCGGGGAGGAAGGGAGUAAAGUUAAUACCUUUGCUCAUUGACGUUACCCGCAGAAGAAGCACCGGCUAACUCCGUG
Molecule: ribosomal RNA, 490 nt
Filed under: uncultured bacterium
Lineage: Bacteria
Description: partial 16S ribosomal RNA
Rfam family: Bacterial small subunit ribosomal RNA
Source: RNAcentral